UAGCUAGUUGGUGAGGUAACGGCUUACCAAGGCGACGAUCUGUAGCGGGUCUGAGAGGAUGAUCCGCCACACUGGAACUGAGACACGGUCCAGACUCCUACGGGAGGCAGCAGUGGGGAAUUUUGGACAAUGGGGGCAACCCUGAUCCAGCCAUGCCGCGUGAGUGAAGAAGGCCUUCGGGUUGUAAAGCUCUUUCGGCCGGGAAGAAAUCGCAUGGGCCAAUACCCUGUGUGGAUGACGGUACCGGAAUAAGAAGCACCGGCUAACUACGUGCCAGCAGCCGCGGUAAUACGUAGGGUGCGAGCGUUAAUCGGAAUUACUGGGCGUAAAGCGUGCGCAGGCGGUUUUGUAAGACAGGCGUGAAAUCCCCGGGCUCAACCUGGGAACUGCGUUUGUGACUGCAAGGCUAGAGUACGGCAGAGGGGGGUGGAAUUCCACGUGUAGCAGUGAAAUGCGUAGAGAUGUGGAGGAACACCAAUGGCGAAGGCAGCCCCCUGGGUCGAUACUGACGCUCAUGCACGAAAGCGUGGGUAGCAAACAGGAUUAGAUACCCUGGUAGUCCACGCCCUAAACUAUGUCAACUAGGUGUUGGGUGGGUAAAACCAUUUAGUACCGUAGCUAACGCGUGAAGUUGACCGCCUGGGGAGUACGGCCGCAAGGUUAAAACUCAAAGGAAUUACGGGGACCCGCACAAGCGGUGGAUGAUGUGGAUUAAUUCGAUGCAACGCGAAAAACCUUACCUACCCUUGACAUGCCAGGAACUUGCCAGAGAUGGCUUGGUGCCCGAAAGGGAGCCUGGACACAGGUGCUGCAUGGCUGUCGUCAGCUCGUGUCGUGAGAUGUUGGGUUAAGUCCCGCAACGAGCGCAACCCUUGUCGUUAAUUGCCAUCAUUUAGUUGGGCACUUUAGCGAGACUGCCGGUGACAAACCGGAGGAAGGUGGGGAUGACGUCAAGUCCUCAUGGCCCUUAUGGGUAGGGCUUCACACGUCAUACAAUGGUCGAUACAGAGGGUCGCCAAGCCGCGAGGUGGAGCCAAUCCCAGAAAGCCGAUCGUAGUCCGGAUUGCAGGCUGCAACUCGCCUGCAUGAAGUCGGAAUCGCUGGUAAUCGUGGAUCAGCAUGUCACGGUGAAUACGUUCCCGGGUCUUGUACACACCGCCCGUCACACCAUGGGAGCGGGUUCCGCCAGAAGUAGGUAGCCUAACCGCAAGGAGGGCGCUUACCACGGCGGGGUUCGUGACUGGGGUGAAGUCGUAACAAGGUAGCCGUAGGGGAACCUGCGGCUG
This 1286-nucleotide ribosomal RNA is filed under the name metagenome. Its description in RNAcentral is "bacterial SSU rRNA". It matches the Rfam family "Bacterial small subunit ribosomal RNA", at positions 242 to 1520 of the family's 1533-position model. The record is from RNAcentral.